Molecule: unclassified non-coding RNA, 342 nt
Filed under: Basidiomycota sp.
Lineage: Eukaryota; Fungi; Basidiomycota
Description: partial contains small subunit ribosomal RNA, internal transcribed spacer 1, and 5.8S ribosomal RNA
Rfam family: Eukaryotic small subunit ribosomal RNA (bases 1-47)
Source: RNAcentral
AAAGUCGUAACAAGGUUUCCGUAGGUGAACCUGCGGAAGGAUCAUUUCCGAAACAAAUUCAUAUCAACCAACCAUGUGAAUUGUAAUUGUCUUUACUGUGGCACACCUACAAAAGGGAGUGUGUGCUGGGAGAGAGAGAGAGAGAGGGGAAAGGGGUUGGGGGGGGAAAGUGACGAAAGUCAUUUCUUCUCCUCCUCCUCCUCCUCCUCCCCCUCCUUCUGGCCCCCUUUGUGCCACAGGCCUUGAUGAACUACCUUGAAUAGGUUGAUUUAUUGUCGUUCUUCCUACCAAUAUGGAAAACCAAUUAAAUGACAACUUUUAACGGUGGAUCUCUUGGCUCGU